GAGCUUUUGACAGUUGAGGGCUGCUUGGGGAAAGCGAGCCAGUUUUCUUUAGAGGUGUGGUCCUUAGUAGGAUAGCAACGCUCCUGUGAAUGGUCCCACAUCCGCUCAUAUUCAGAACAUUGCAGACUCCUAGAGAAGGAAGAGGAAGCAGGGGAAUCUUCACCAGGGACAUCCCAGAAUGCUCUAGACCACGCGGGCUGGGAUCUCACAAAGAACCCUGGGGCUAGACGUGCAUCCUCACGAUCCGCCACAAGAGGGCGGUCAUCAAAAGCCAGUAAAAGGUCACCCUGCCCUCCGCAGACACCGGAAGAAACCUGAUCAGCGUUGGCAUGGGCUCCUGAUCUCACUGGUUUAUGGAAGGCUUCUCUGCUUUAGUACUUCUGGACAUCCUAUUGAAAUGCAGAUGCCGGUUCAGUAGUUCUAGGAUGUGGCCUGGGAGUCUGAAUUUCUACCAAAGCACCGAGGUGAUAGCAACCUGCUGGUGAAACGAGUGCUGUUUAAAGGGUUUAAUCCAGCUUCACCCUGACAAAGCUGUAUUUGCUUUCUUGGGCAAAUUCCACAGGACAAUAACAACUGACAACAUGAAAGAGAAGAAAAGUGGCCAUCGGCGGAAAAACAUCAGGCAAAGGCUCACAGCUAUGGCCUGUCUUCCAUGGACCACUGCACUUUCCUCUCUCACUAGAAGCACUGAUGUCUCUUCAGGACUCCUACGCUGUGCAAAUUUCAAUCCUUGCCUGUGUGUUUGAUUACACAU
Molecule: non-coding RNA, 754 nt
Organism: Peromyscus maniculatus bairdii (prairie deer mouse)
Lineage: Eukaryota; Metazoa; Chordata; Mammalia; Rodentia; Cricetidae
Source: RefSeq, a predicted model, not a curated record